Molecule: small nucleolar RNA, 107 nt
Organism: Eucalyptus grandis
Lineage: Eukaryota; Viridiplantae; Streptophyta; Magnoliopsida; Myrtales; Myrtaceae
Source: RefSeq, a predicted model, not a curated record
AGUCCAUAAUGUGGGCAUCUCCUACGAAAUUUUUUGAAUCUUUCCCAUACUUCAUAUAAUGAUUCAUUAUCCGUCUGCAUAAAAUUAGUUAUAUUGUUACACAUCUU